UUUGAGUAUUAAAUUUUAUUAUAUUUAACAGAUUAUGUAAUUUUUUUUCAUGUUCUGUAAUUUAUUAGUGUACAUGUUCUGUAAUUUAUUAGUGUACAUGUUUUUUAAUCUUUUUUCUCAUGUUCUGUAAUUUAUUUUUCCUGUUCUGUAAUUCAUUCUUUUAUAUAAUAUUAUUUAUUUUCAUUUUUAAAAAGUCCAAUGUGUUUUGUAUUUUAUUUAUGUAAAUGUUCUGUAAUUUGUUUCUCAUAUUCUGUAAUUCAUAUUUUAUAUUUAGUAAUUUUUUGUGUGAUAUAAUUUGUUUGUAACUUUUUUUAAGUAAAACUAAAUUUGUUAAUUAAUAAAUAAAGAUACAUGCAGGAUCCUCUAAAUCAUGUGUUGUAUAUUAGUUUUUUGUAAUUGAAAAAUCAUUUGUACAUGUUGUAGAUAACUG
This 430-nucleotide long non-coding RNA is filed under the name Daucus carota (carrot). Its description in RNAcentral is "long non-coding RNA (DCAR_LNC003219)". Lineage: Eukaryota; Viridiplantae; Streptophyta; Magnoliopsida; Apiales; Apiaceae. The record is from RNAcentral.